UAAAGAUUUUAAGGGCGUACGGUGGAUGCCUUGGCGAUAUCAGCCGAAGAAGGACGCGGUAAGCUGCGAUAAGCUACGGAGAGGUGCAAGCAACCUUUGACCCGUAGAUUUCCGAAUGGGGGAACCCGGCAGUGGUUAUGCACUGUCACCCAUAGCUUAGACUAUGAGGAGGGCACCCGGGGAACUGAAACAUCUAAUUACCCGGAGGAAAAGUAAUCAAACGAGAUUUUCUUAGUAGCGGCGAGCGAACGGGAAAGAGGCCAAACCGGAGCGGGCAACCGCACCGGGGUUGAGGACAGUCAUCAAGUGUAAAUGAGGUAGAAGAAUCGAGUUGGAAAGCUCAGCCGCAGAAGGUGAAAGCCCUGUAAUCGAAACCUUGCAUACAUGGGACUGUAUCCAGAGUACCACGAGACACGUGAAACCUUGUGGGAAGCAGGGGGGACCACCCUCCAAGCCAAAAUACUGAUAUCGACCGAUAGCGCAUAGUACCGUGAGGGAAAGGUGAAAAGAACCCCUGGCGGGGAGUGAAAGAGAACCUGAAACCGUAUGUCUACAAACAGUCGAAGUCUGUAUAUAUAUCAGGACGACGGCGUGCCUAUUGAAGAAUGAACCGACGAGUUACUGUUGCUAGCGAGGUUAAGUGGAAAACACGGAGCCGCAGCGAAAGCGAGUCUGAACAGGGCGUUCAGUUAGUAAUAGUAGACCCGAAACCGUAGUGAUCUAUCCAUGGCCAGGUUGAAGCACAGGUAAAAUUGUGUGGAGGACCGAACUCGUGAGCGUUGAAAAGCUUUGGGAUGAGUUGUGGAUAGGGGUGAAAUGCCAAUCGAACACGGAGAUAGCUGGUUCUCCCCGAAAUAGCUUUAGGGCUAGCCUCGAGGUUGAGAGUAUAGGCGGUAGAGCACUGAUCGGGCUAGGGGCCAUACCGGUUACCGAACCUAGUCAAACUACGAAUGGCUAUACUUAUACUCGGGAGUCAGACAGUGAAUGAUAAGGUCCAUUGUCAAGAGGGAAACAGCCCAGAACACCGACUAAGGUCCCAAAUGUUACACUAAGUGGCGAAGGAUGUGGAAUUUCCAAAACAACCAGGAUGUUGGCUUAGAAGCAGCCACCAUUUAAAGAGUGCGUAAUAGCUCACUGGUCGAGAGACUCUGCGCCGAAAAUGUCCGGGGCUAAAGUGUAAAACCGAAGUCGUGUCAUAUGCAGCAAUGUAUAUGGGUAGGGGAGCGUUCUCAUUGGGUUGAAGCAGUACCGUAAGGAGUUGUGGACUGAUGAGAAGUGAGAAUGUCGGUAUGAGUAGCGAAAAGAAUGGUGAGAAUCCAUUCCACCGAAAGCCUAAGGGUUCCUGAGCAACGAUCGUCGUCUCAGGGUAAGUCGGGACCUAAGCCGAGGCGGAAAAGCGUAGGCGAUGGACAACAGGUUGAAAUUCCUGUACCGGUGUGAAUCGUUUGAUCGAUGGAGUGACACAGUAAGGUAGGUCAGCACGCGAUUGGAAGUGCGUGUUUAAGCAUGUAGGUUGAGCUAUAGGCAAAUCCGUAGCUCUAAAAGCUGAGAUGUGAUGACGAGUUACUAGCGAUAGUAACGAAGUGAUUGAUCCUACACUGUCGAGAAAAGCUUCUAGGUAGAGACACAUCGCCCGUACCAAAACCGACACAGGUAGGCGGGGAGAGAAUCCUAAGGUGCGCGGGAAAACCCUCGUUAAGGAACUCGGCAAAAUGCCUCCGUAACUUCGGGAAAAGGAGGACUCAUGUAGUGUGAAGUGCAGCAACGCAUGGAGCAUGAAUGAGUGGCACAAGAGAGGCGCAAGCGACUGUUUACCACAAACACAGGUGCCUGCUAAAGCGAAAGCUGAUGUAUAGGUGCUGACACCUGCCCGGUGCUGGAAGGUUAAGAGGAGGGGUUAGACUUCGGUCGAAGCUCUGAAUUGAAGCCCCAGUAAACGGCGGCCGUAACUAUAACGGUCCUAAGGUAGCGAAAUUCCUUGUCGGGU
Molecule: ribosomal RNA, 1987 nt
Filed under: metagenome
Description: bacterial LSU rRNA
Rfam family: Bacterial large subunit ribosomal RNA
Source: RNAcentral